UACAGAGGGUGCGAGCGUUAAUCGGAAUUACUGGGCGUAAAGCGCACGUAGGUGGCGACGUAAGUCGGGUGUGAAAGCCCCGGGCUCAACCUGGGAAUUGCAUUCGAGACUGCAUUGCUGGAGUACGGAAGAGGAAGGCGGAAUUCCCGGUGUAGCGGUGAAAUGCGUAGAUAUCGGGAGGAACAUCAGUGGCGAAGGCGGCCUUCUGGUCCAACACUGACGCUCAUGCACGAAAGCGUGGGGAGCAAACAGG
This 253-nucleotide ribosomal RNA is filed under the name uncultured bacterium. RNAcentral describes it as "partial 16S ribosomal RNA". It matches the Rfam family "Bacterial small subunit ribosomal RNA", at positions 524 to 776 of the family's 1533-position model. The record is from RNAcentral.